RNAcentral lists this ribosomal RNA (247 nucleotides) under Russula sp. Its description in RNAcentral is "partial large subunit ribosomal RNA". Lineage: Eukaryota; Fungi; Basidiomycota; Agaricomycetes; Russulales; Russulaceae. The record is from RNAcentral.
AAACGCUUGAAGUCAGUCGCGUCGUCCGAGACUCAGCCUUGCCUUGGCUUGGUGUAUUUCUUGGCCGACGGGCCAGCAUCAAUUUUGACCCUUGGAUAAUGGCGAGAGAAAUGUGACUCCUUUACGGAGUGUUAUAGUCUCUUGUCGCAUGCAAGGGUUGGGAUUGAGGAACUCAGCACGCGCCUUUGGGUGUCGGGGUUUUGCCCACGAUACGUGCUUAGGAUGUUGGCGUAAUGGCUUUAAACGA